This is a non-coding RNA of Seminavis robusta, 73 nucleotides long. The record is from the annotation of a GenBank genome assembly. Lineage: Eukaryota; Bacillariophyta; Bacillariophyceae; Naviculales; Naviculaceae.
GAUACUGUGGCUGAGUGGACUAAGCGCAAUGUUAAGGGCAUUGUUUUCAGGGGUUCAAAUCCUCUCAGUAUCA